CAUGAUGUCACUGAGAAUCGCCAUGGCCUAGCUUCUAAACAGCUUUCCUUACAUUGACCACAUUUGAGGGUGACAUUUUCAGGAGUGUCUCCUGUUUAACAGUGGAAACCUUUACAUACUACAUCUCUCUAAAGGAUGGAAAUGAAGAAGAGCCUGAGGAACAGAAAUCAAAAAUUGGAUCCAGCUCAGAUAGAGGCACCAGCACCAGACACAAUUACUGAUGACACUGAGUCACCAAUGCAGCAGCAUGCACCAGCUAAUAUGAAGCCCCUAAGACUGGAGUGCUCAGUCUGGACACGAACAGAGAAGAUGCACUUAACACUCAAGACACUUGAGUUCCCAGGGAGUGGAGAAGUCUGGUAGACUGGGGGUGGAGUGGGAGACAGCUUCAUUCAGAUGGCCAUGUGGGGUGUAGG
Non-coding RNA from Rattus norvegicus (Norway rat), 416 nucleotides. The record is from RefSeq and is a predicted model, not a curated record. Lineage: Eukaryota; Metazoa; Chordata; Mammalia; Rodentia; Muridae.